AUACAAGACAUUAGCUUCCACAUGUAAAUAAAACAUAACAGAUCAGUUUUAUUCAUUACUAUUAACACCCUUUAUUCACACAACAUAUAAAAAAACAUAGAUUGCAAAGUAUGGACCAUGGAGAGCUGAAAUGCACUACCACAGAGGUUAUAUGCUGCAUCAGUAGCCGCCAGUGCCGCAUCUGUGGGCUUCUCAGCAAGAGUGAGACUUUCACCUUCAGCUUCUUUUAUCUGCCUCAUGAUGUCUAACUUUGUUUCAGAUUAGUUUUAUUCAUUACUGUUAACACCCUUUAUUCACACAACAUAUAAAUAAAACAUAGAUUGCAAUGUAUGGACCAUGGACAGCUGAAAUGCACUACCACAGAGGUUUUAUGCUGCAUCAGUAGCCACCAGUGCCGCAUCUGUGGGCUUCUCAGCAAGAGCGAGACUUUCACCUUCAGCUUCUUUUAUCUGCCUCAUGAUGUCUAACUUUGUUUCACGAAGGGCUUCUAUUUUGCCAUUAAUCUUCUCUAGCUUCUGUUUCAACUUUCCAAC
Molecule: long non-coding RNA, 533 nt
Filed under: Prunus persica (peach)
Lineage: Eukaryota; Viridiplantae; Streptophyta; Magnoliopsida; Rosales; Rosaceae
Description: long non-coding RNA (PPER_LNC006764)
Source: RNAcentral